This 2300-nucleotide long non-coding RNA is filed under the name Calidris pugnax (ruff). Its description in RNAcentral is "lncRNA (ENSCPUG00000013358.1)". Lineage: Eukaryota; Metazoa; Chordata; Aves; Charadriiformes; Scolopacidae. The record is from RNAcentral.
UUUUCCUACCAGGAGAUGAGGUCUUUCUCUCCGUGUAGGCCAGAGGAAAGAGUUCUUCCUUGGGGUUGCCUUGCGGCCAGGAGCAGAGCUGAGUGGCCUAGACCUCUCUGACACCCAUGUCAUGACCUGGGGGAGAAGCACCUCAUGGUGGGUGGGGAUCUGAAAACACCUCCAUUGCCUGAGGGAAAGGGGAGACUGCACAUGGGACCUCUCUAACCUCAUCAGCUGCCUAACGUGCAGCUCUGGUGAGUGUGCUUGGACUGUCACUGUCACCUGGGCACAUGGCCACGUUGAUUUAUUUUUUCUCCUGCCUUCCUCUCUCCUCUGUCCCUACUUCCUUCCGUUGACAAGUCCCCAUUAGGAAUAACCUUCCUCUUAACCAUGACCAGGACCACCAAACCAGGGCUGUCCGCUCUGGCCAAGGGAGUCUCCCAUCUCUAGCUGGGUAUCUUGGGCUUCCUGAGGUACCCAAGAGUCAGGAGAGCAGAUCUGGCAGCAGAAUACCAUGUGUGAUCAUGAGGUGAGGUGGGGGGUUUAAAAGGGAGCAGAGUCCCCAUGGGCUUGAGAAACUGUUGGUUUCUUCCCUUUUUUCUUUACGUGCUUCUGAUAUUUUUUUUUUUUAUUUUUUUUUUUCUUUUUUGAGCAGGGCAAAAAAACCCAAAACAGUGUGUGUGAACAUCAGUUUAGCAUGUCCAUAGGAAGCAAAGUCUCACAGCUGGAGGUGGGGAUGGACAAAGACCAGCCUUGGAAGGGCUCCUCACCUCAGUCAGUGUGGGGGAUCCAGCCCUGAGAUGCACUGUGGGGGGCAGAGGAGCUCCCAAGGGGACCUCCACCCACCCCCAGGUGAGUCCCGAAGCAGGGGCAGGCACCCUGUGUGCAGGGACAACCUUAACCCUUGCAGCUCCUGGGUGGUGACAAAGCCCCCUUGUCCCCAGCACUGGGGCUGCCUCCUCAGAUUAGCUCGGGGAAUAACGAGCGUUCAAACGAGGGCGGACUUGCUGGGGUGUGCUGCUUUAUUGUGUGGCUGUAAUCGAUGUUUGGGGCAGCUCGUGGAGCUUGACAAGUGAAUUUGGGCAGGGACCGUAGAUGAGGCUGAUGCAGGCUUGCUUAUUUUGAAGAGACGAGGUGUCUACGUGUCUAUAUAAAAAUGUGAAGGAAUUGCACGUGUGCACGCGUAUCCACAGCCUCACAAACUAUACAGGUCAAGCCUGGGGUGCAAACCCUCCCCUGACACCCCGUGUCCUGCUCAUGCAACCCAUGGUGCUCCUAUCCACUUGCACACCCACGCACACUCACACACGGGGUGAAGGGGGCUGGAGGUGUGAGCCUGUUUGUUCCUCCUGUACCCCCCCAACCCCCAGGGCAGCAGUUAAAGAGGCCAUUUUCUCUUUGCAGAAUCUGAACCUGAUUCUGCACUUGAAAGCCAGGGGGGAUUAAAGCCGGCAGAGGCAGGCUCAGGUCUUUGGCUCGCAAAUGCUUUGUGCAACUUCUCUGGACUUCAGCAGGGACUGCGCCUUCGGAGCUGAGCUCAGCCCCUGGCCCCGGCUCUUAAUUUCUUUGCAUGAGAGGAGAUUAACGGGGAGAGCGGAAGGCUGCACCUCUCAACUCUUUGGGCACUCCUCGCACAGCAUCUCUCUUUGUUUUCCCUCCCAUCCACAUCCCUAACCCUGUGGAAACCAGGCUCUGACUGGCUGCAAACUGCGGACAUCGGUCCUGCAGUGGGGCUUGGUACAAUUUCUUUUUUCCUCCUUUUUUUUUCUCCCUCCAGAAACAUAAGGGAUAAACACAAUCAUUUCAAAGAAGCGAAAGCUUCCCCGCUGGAGAAGCCAACAGGGACCUGCCGCGAAGUCCUGGUACGGUGUGUCACUGACACUGAUUCAAUCUGACACCUGGGUGUCUCCAAAGCCAUCACAUUGUGCGCCGCAAAUGUAUAUUAACAUUAGUAUGCAUUGGCACAAUAUGGAUCCAUUAUUCCAAAUGCUUAUGAGAACUAGGUGCUGCAUAGGAGCAGCUGCUGCUUUUUAAACCUCAGAGCAUCAAUAGAUUCAUAGAUUUUAGGGCCAGAAGGGACCCCGACGAUCGUGUAGCCUGACCUCCCACGGAGCGCCAGCCGUAGAGACUCGCCCGGUAAUUUCUGCAUCCUGCCCCACCACUCGUGGUUAAGCAGCAGCCUCCCCUGCCAGAGGCAGCCGGCUCCUAAGCACUGGAGAAGUUGCUUUUUCCCUCUGUAAAUUUGUUCCCUUGUUUUAUCACUCCCUCCUCGUUAUUAAUAAAAGGGCGUCUUUAUAUUUCGAGGCUCA